GCCAACCUUCCGCAAGGUGGACCAGGUCCCGUGGACUCAUCCUUGCCCCAAAGUGUCUGACUGACCAUCUAGGGUGGUGUUGCAGCUGGAGACAGGCCUUGCUGAGCAGAAGCCCACCUGUGGCCCCCACCCACCACCAUGGACACUCUCUUCACGUACCCAUUGCCCACACCAAGGUCGUGAUAGCAGGCGAGCUGACUGUUCUGUCUGCUUGGAUGUUCAGGUGAUGUUCUUAAUGGGCAUUGACAUGUGAUCAGUGGUCUUCAUGCUAUGUGCCAACUCCCAGAGGACCAUCUGCUUGCCUCUCCGACCCCUGUGUCUGUGACCUCCCAGCUGCGCUCCUGCCACGCUCAUUGCUGACCAGUGGAACCCUUUGUCACUUCCCAUAAUCUUUUUCCACAAAUGAUUCUGGAACCAUUGGGAUCACUAUGCAAAACUAAAGCCAUACCUCACACCACAUAAAAAAGUUAAUUCAGAAUGGAUCAUAGAAAUGUAAAGUGUUUACAUUUUCCUCAAACUUCUAGAGGAAAAAAAUAGAAAAAUGUUAACUUUGGGGGCAGCUCGGCAAAGCUUUCUUAGAUAACAAACCACAGCAAGCAGGAUUUGCAGAACAAAAGUUCAGAACCUGAACUUCACUAAAAUGAGUAACUUGUGUUCUUUGAAAGACUCUGUUAGAGAAGAAAACUACCAGCCAUGACUGGAAGAAAAUAUUGUGACUCACACAUGUAAUUGUCUUCCGAAGACAUCUAUGUCCCCAUCCUGCAAAUCUGUGAAAAUGUUACAUCACAAGGCAGAAGGGGGUCAGGUUGCAGACAGGAUCAAGGUUGCUCAUCAGCUGACCUUGAGAAGAGGCUGUCUAUGUGAGUCCGGGGUGAUCACAGGGACAUUUGACUGUGGACGAGGGUCAGGGUCAGGGUGGUGUGACAGGCAAAGCUGGCUGUGAGUAUGGAGCUGGGCCCCAAGGCAAGGAGGGCGAGCAGCCUCUAGAAGUUGGAGAAGGGAAGAGGACACACACUUCAAGCCUGCAGGGAACCACAACUUCAUCUUAGCCAAACAGUGAGACAUUUCAGCCUUCUAACCUGCAGAACUAAAAGGUAUGCCCUCAAAAGACAGUGACAAGCAUAUGUCCAUGCAAAGAAAUGAAUACUCAGAAUAUUUGCAGUAGUCAGAACCUAUCAUGUAAUAAUCAAAUGUCU
This is a long non-coding RNA of Bos taurus (domestic cattle), 1196 nucleotides long. The record is from Ensembl. Lineage: Eukaryota; Metazoa; Chordata; Mammalia; Artiodactyla; Bovidae.